This 396-nucleotide ribosomal RNA is filed under the name Triticum aestivum (bread wheat). Its description in RNAcentral is "partial small subunit ribosomal RNA". Lineage: Eukaryota; Viridiplantae; Streptophyta; Magnoliopsida; Poales; Poaceae. The record is from RNAcentral.
AUGACUUGGUGGGAUCAGCUGGAGCACGGAUCUGCCGAAACGACUCAGCUAUGGUGUCAAAUACCACCAGUUCCCAUCCAGCCUCACAAUCCUCCAGUGGGUUCUCGCCUAGGCGAUAAAACAGGCACCAAUGCAGGCUAUCACGCACCCGGGCAGGUCCGUCGAAGUAAGCCGACGAGAAUUUGGGCUCCGACAACCCGAUGUACCUCGGUGGCUGCUCGGAUCCCAACGCAAAGACAUAGCAGCCAUUUUGCCUGUAGGCGAGUCACAGUCACUGUCGUCCCCCCAGUCCAUUGCGCCCCUCCACUGCAUAACAGCCGGUACUCACCGGUAGGUCCGUGUAGGUACAUCCCCAGGAUGUUGAAGUCCGGCAGGGCCGGGAGGGAGGCGUGCUGA